GACGAACGCGGCGGCGUGCUUAACACAUGCAAGUCGAACGGAGCGAAUGAAAGCUUGCUUUUAUGAGCUUAGUGGCAAACGGGUGAGUAACACGUAGGCAACCUGCCGACAGGAUGGGGACAACAUUCCGAAAGGAAUGCUAAUACCGAAUGAAGCGGAGGGGAGGCAUCUCCCUUCCGUGAAAGAUGGCCUCUAUUUAUAAGCUAUCACCUGUCGAUGGGCCUGCGUCUGAUUAGCUAGUAGGUGAGGUAACGGCUCACCUAGGCGACGAUCAGUAGCCGGUCUGAGAGGAUGAACGGCCACAUUGGGACUGAGACACGGCCCAGACUCCUACGGGAGGCAGCAGUGGGGAAUCUUCCGCAAUGGGCGCAAGCCUGACGGAGCAACGCCGCGUGAGUGAAGAAGGUCUUCGGAUCGUAAAGCUCUGUUUGAUGGGGGACGAAAUGUGCGUGAUGCGAAAUAGUGUCCAUGC
This 472-nucleotide ribosomal RNA is filed under the name Selenomonas sp. oral taxon F98. Its description in RNAcentral is "bacterial SSU rRNA". It matches the Rfam family "Bacterial small subunit ribosomal RNA", at positions 28 to 478 of the family's 1533-position model. The record is from RNAcentral. Lineage: Bacteria; Bacillati; Bacillota; Negativicutes; Selenomonadales; Selenomonadaceae.